Molecule: long non-coding RNA, 84 nt
Organism: Amblyraja radiata (thorny skate)
Lineage: Eukaryota; Metazoa; Chordata; Chondrichthyes; Rajiformes; Rajidae
Exons: 3
Source: RefSeq, a predicted model, not a curated record
UCGAGCAGAGGAAAGUGGGAGCUGCAGGAGCUGAAGCGUUAAAGCGGUGAACGAGAGCAGGAAGCAGCACCGAUUCAGAUAUGA